UCGUAAAGCCGUUUACGUACCCGAAAGGUCGACCCCUUAAAGGUGCCGAAGGUAUGGAUGGUGAUUGGGAUG
RNAcentral lists this ribosomal RNA (72 nucleotides) under uncultured bacterium. RNAcentral describes it as "partial 16S ribosomal RNA". The record is from RNAcentral.